Corapipo altera (White-ruffed manakin) is the source of this 2232-nucleotide long non-coding RNA. RefSeq lists it as uncharacterized. NCBI's taxonomy places the organism in Eukaryota, Metazoa, Chordata, Aves, Passeriformes, Pipridae. The transcript has 3 exons. The record is from RefSeq and is a predicted model, not a curated record.
CCAUUGCUCCUCGUCCUGUCACUGCUCUGCCCCAGGCAGGCAGCCCAUCCAUCCCAAUGUAUUGCCUACCCCAUCCUAGACACAUAAUUCCGUGUUUUCCCUUGACUUCAAUGAGAUUCCUGUCAGCCCCAUCCCUUUGGCUUGUCCAGGUCCCUCUGAAAAGCAGCCCUGCCCUUGAGUGGAAUGAUUGCACCCUCAAUUAGUGGAAAUUAAGACAAUCGACUUCCUUAGUUAGCCUGGUAAAUAUACCAAAAAAAAGAAAAUAAGACAUCAUUGUACAGGUCUGGGCUGCCUUCUUGUCCAAUAUGGAAAUUCUUGUUUGGCUGGAGAUUAUCCCGGCUGGGAAGUAACUUGUGAUGAAGGAUUUUCUACCAUUUACUGCAAAAAAAAAAAAAAAAAAAAAAAAAAAAGUUGAUAAGCUGUUGUUAAAGCAUUUCUACCUUUCUUCCCCCUCCCCCUCGCCCCCCAGUAAGCAGUAGGACUUACACCUCUGGAUUUUAUCCCACUUCAACCGUUUAUCUUAUGAGGUUCCUUUACAUCACUCCCACAUUUCCCCACAGGAAUCUGGGCUCAAUGGAACCAUUCCUUAAAGCCUGAGUGUUGCUCUGACCUUUAUUUACUGACACUGGAGCGAUCUCGGCGUGUCUGGGAACCGAAGCAGGAGGUGCCCAUAGCACCACUCACACUACACAGAAAUGAAACAAUUACAGUGAUUUUUCCUCUUUUGCUGCUUCUCAGGACUCAUGAGGCCUCUCCCAAUGACCCAGUGAUAUUCUGUCCUCGCUAGGUGUUCCAACAGUACCUGCCAUUCCCAAAGAAGAGAUCUGCUGACAGACAUCCCUGCCUUGCUGUGCUGUGAGCUUCGUGCCACUGCAGUUAAUGCCAGCUGAGGAUUAAACCUGGAGAGCUGUAAUUUUCCAAGUUCCAUAAUCCCACUGCUGUUAAAGAAAAGGUUCAGGAAUCAAGCUGUCACUUUAGGUUUCCACAGCUGUAGAUAGAAGUGUCUCCGUGAAUAUCAGGCACCCAGGGCACAAAUAUUCCUGUGCUGGAAUCAUAAUUUACCUUGGUGACCAGUCCCUGCUCUGCACCAAAGAACAUUAUUUCCUAGACUUCCCCUUCAGUAAUUCCACUGUUUCUCUGGAGGGAACCAAGGAAGACUGGGCUUUGUGUUCUACAACUAUUUCCUGUAUGGGGAGGCUGGACUGGGUGAUUCUGUGUUCACUGAACCAAGAUUUUGCCUCCUGAUAGCGUGGCUUUCCAGUGGAAAAAAGAAGGCAAUUAAAAACUUAGUGGGUUUAGGUGUGUGGUACAGAGGGUGUAGUUAGAAAAUUCCUUCUGUAAUUUGUUUCUAUUAGGUUUAUUUUCUAUUAUACUGAAUGUUGUCCUGUUAUUGGUUUGUGUGGGCUUCUCUUGGUAAAGGAAGGUAUUCCAGCAUUCCUGACAUGUUUUCCUUCACUGUGUGCCAUGAUGGAUUCAUGACACUGCCUAGAGCAGAAUAAAUUACUGUAACACUCAUUUCCCUAAAAUACACUUAAUAUCACCAUCCAUGUCAUUUUUUUUUGCAGUUCUAUACUGGAUUUCCAGAACUACCCUCCUGGGCUUUUGGAAUUGGUUCUUGAUGGAUUGUUUGGAAAACUAGGAAAUAAGAAGGUUUUUUAUAGUACAGAGAUUAUAAUAAUUUUAUAUUUCUGAUUUAAUUUAAAUUUGUACACGUGCCUAACAAAAUAACAGUUGCAAUAUAUUUUUCAUGACGUGAAAGCUAAAAGAGGUUUAUGGUUUCAAACAAAUAAUGUAGGAGAGAGUAAACAAUAUGUGGCCAAAAUAAGUGUUCCCUGCAGUUUCUAACAUGGAUUUAUUAACCAUAAAGCUCCUUGUAUUCCAGGCAAAUGGUUUAGUUCAGAAUAGAUAAAUCUUUAAAAACACAACACUGUAACUGUUGGGAAGUCACCACGGCCCUGCCUUUGGUAUCUGAUUAAAAUGAACCAAAGGUUUUACACAAGGCUGACCAGGAAUGUUCAUAUCUCUCCUUCAAAAAUAAGACUAAAAAAAAUUCCUUGGAAUAUUAAAAGAAAUAUUUAAAGAGCUUUCUUCUUCAUAUGAGUGAUGUUAGUGUGAUAAUGGCUACUCACCAAAAGGUAGGUAUGUAAUGAGAAGAGGAAAUCAUAUUUACAGGGCUCUGUACCCAUAAUCCCUCCAUCCCUCCAUCUCUGACUAACUUUGAGCUCUGUUAUC